GGACGAUUAGCUCAGUUGGUUAGAGCGCUGCACUCACAUUGCAGAGGUCGGAGGUUCGAAUCCUCCAUCGUCCA
Non-coding RNA from Candidatus Jorgensenbacteria bacterium GWA1_49_17, 74 nucleotides. The record is from Rfam. Lineage: Bacteria; Candidatus Joergenseniibacteriota.